Molecule: non-coding RNA, 45 nt
Organism: Schistosoma mattheei
Lineage: Eukaryota; Metazoa; Platyhelminthes; Trematoda; Strigeidida; Schistosomatidae
Source: Rfam
AUCCAACUAAUGAGUCCCAAAUAGGACAAAACGCGUUUCCUGAAU